This 992-nucleotide ribosomal RNA is filed under the name uncultured bacterium. Its description in RNAcentral is "bacterial SSU rRNA". It matches the Rfam family "Bacterial small subunit ribosomal RNA", at positions 8 to 1022 of the family's 1533-position model. The record is from RNAcentral.
AGAGUUUGAUCCUGGCUCAGGACGAACGCUGGCGGCGUGCUUAACACAUGCAAGUUGAACGGUAUGUCAUGGAAGCUUGCUGAAGUGACAUAUAGUAGCGAACGGGUGAGUAAUGCAUGAGAAUUUAUCCUUAGGAGGGGGACAACAGCUGGAAACGGCUGCUAAUACCCCGUAUGCCGGAAGGUGAAAGGUGCGAGAGUGCCGCCUGGGGUUGAGCUCAUGUCCUAUCAGCUAGUUGGUGGGGUAACGGCCUACCAAGGCGACGACGGGUAGCCGGCCUGAGAGGGUGAACGGCCACACUGGAACUGAGACACGGUCCAGACUCCUACGGGAGGCAGCAGUGGGGAAUUUUGGGCAAUGGGGGAAACCCUGACCCAGCGACGCCGCGUGAGGGAAGACAGCCUUCGGGUUUUAAACCUCUUUUGUACGGGAAGAUAAUGACGGUACUGUACGAAUAAGUCCCGGCUAACUACGUGCCAGCAGCCGCGGUAAUACGUAGGGGACGAGCGUUGUCCGGAAUUACUGGGCGUAAAGGGCGCGCAGGCUGCGUUACAAGUCAGCUGUUAAAUGCAUGGGCUUACCCCAUGAGUGCGGUUGAAACUGUAGUGCUAGAGUACUGUAGAGGCAAGCGGAAUUCCCAGUGUAGCGGUGAAAUGCGUAGAUAUUGGGAGGAACACCGGUGGCGUAGGCGGCUUGCUGGACAGUAACUGACGCUGAGGCGCGAAAGCCAGGGGAGCAAACGGGAUUAGAUACCCCGGUAGUCCUGGCCGUAAACGAUGAAUGCUAGGUGUGGGUGUAGCGAUACAUCUGUGCCGUAGUUAACGCGUUAAGCAUUUCGCCUGGGGAGUACGAUCGCAAGAUUGGAACUCAAAGGGAAUUGACCGGGGCCCCCACCAACGGUGGAACACGUGGUUUAAUUCGAUGCAAACCAAAAACCUUAACUGGGUUGACAUGUACGUAUUACUGAGAUGAAAGUCGAGGGACCUUUUUUU